Long non-coding RNA from Mya arenaria, 4155 nucleotides. RefSeq lists it as uncharacterized. Lineage: Eukaryota; Metazoa; Mollusca; Bivalvia; Myida; Myidae. The transcript is spliced from 5 exons. The record is from RefSeq and is a predicted model, not a curated record.
UACACGCUGAAAACUUUAAAAUACAUAAAAUUUGCUUACAAUAAGAUUUGUGUAUGAAUUAUUUACGGCUAACAUGAAGUAAAGCGAUAGAUUUGUCAAAAGCCGUGCACUUUGCCUUAGAUUUCAACUCUGAGAAAUCAGUUGGUCAAGAUUUUCAGGAAAACUUUAGGAUAUUAGAGAAUGUUCUUUAAUACCAUGGAUAGAGCUCUUAAAUGCGGGGUUUAUGGUCUUCAUUUCACAAAAAUUCUCCAAAUAUUAAGAGAGUUAUCUUUAAAAACCUUACCUGAAUCGAGACUUGUUGACAUUUGUUGCCGUGCACUUUACCAAAUAAGUCACGUGGGUUCUCCACAGUGGUACAGGUCAGUGGCAAAGCUGACUGCUACCACACAGCCCACAGUAUCUCUAAGGCAACACAAUGCAAUUGGGAUGGAGCUGGAACAACCACUAUGAGCCUGAAAAAAAGACGUAAAGGUGAUGGAACCUGUAUUUUCCUGUUCAUAAACCAUAUUGGGCGCAUGAAUGCCGGACACCAAAAUUAUAUCAGAGCUUGACGACACUGCCUUUUGGUAGUUUUCGUCAUCGCCAAAAUCGGCCAUUCUUAAUGAUGAUAGUUGAGAGACAACCCUGGCUCCACAGCUGAUUCCAUCAUUACAAAACUUCAAUGGCCCGUUAUUUUCGUGCACAUGCUUCAGAGCCAACCAUCUCCGGGGCAUGGGCCAGGACAAGUUAUACAGGUGCUCGCAAUCAACAGUGACCUCCCAGUCACUUGCAGCAGACUUGUACAAUACCGUAUCGGUGGCGAGCAGCUACAGCCUCCCAACCGGUUUGGCCAGAUUGCCAUCAGAAUUUAUACUGGUCUCAUUACCCUCAACCAGCCGCUCACUUGGAUCAAUUUGACGGAAACAAUCCAAGUCCUUUUGCUGUGAAAGCAAAAUGCGAACAACUGUGACCUCUAGAGUGUUAAUAGUCAAAUUGUUGAUGACGGACACAGGACGAUCACAAUAGGACUGUGACUUUAGCAUGACAAGUUGUCUGGUAGCAGUAGAAAUGAGAUCAUGGAACAUCACAAUCGAUGUGCACGACAUCAACAAAGGAAAGAGGGUGGUAUAGUAAGAGAUCUGCAGACUUCAAGUGUUUGCAUUGUUGCAUGAAAGAUGUGUAUGCUAGCUAUAUAUAUAUUUCAAAAGGACGGCUGUGGUAUUCAUAAUAAACAUAAAUGAUUCUUUAUGCCAAUUUUAAGCUCACCUGUGCUCAAAGUGCUCAGUGUGAGCUAUUGUGAUAGUAGAUUGUCCUUCGUCCAUCGUCAACUCUGGUUGCCAUUGCAAUUAAAAGGAAAACAAAUAAAAAUCUACUUCUCAGAAACCACUGACUGGAUUUGACCCUUUGUCAAAUUCCCCAUGUUGAUUCAUAAAAAAUGACAGGGUUGCCAGGGCAGAGCUAGUUUUCACUAUAUGUCUAUUAUGGAAGUAUUAGAAAAUCUUCCCUUGGGAAACCAUUGACUCAGUUUCAAAAUAUUUUCACAGAAAUGUUCCUUAUGUGGGCUUGUUUAUCAAAAUUAUAUUUCACAUUUUUAGCUCACCUGUCACAUAGUGACAAGGUGAGCUUUUGUGAUCACAAUUUGUCCGGCGUCCGUCCGUCCGUUCGUCCGUCCGUAAACUUUUACUUUAAACGACAUCUCCUCAUAAACCGCUUAGCCAAUUUCAUCCAAACUUCACAGGAAUGUUCCUUGGGUGGUCCCCUUUGAAAAUUGUUCAAAGAAUUGAAAUCCAUGAAGAACUCUGGUUGCCAUGGCAAUGGAAAGGAAAAACUUUAAAAAUCUUCUUCUCCCAAACCACAAGGCUUAGGCCGUUGAUAUAUGGUAGGUAGGAUCACCAAAUGGUCCUCUACCAAGAUUGUUCAAAUUAUGGCCCUUGGGUCAAAAUUGGCCCCGCCCCGGGGGGUCAUGGGUUUUCUCUAAAAAAACUUAAAAAAUCUUCUCCUCUGAACUUACUUGGCCUAGAGCUUAGAUAUUUGUCAUGAUUCAUCGUCUAGUGGACCUCUACAAAGUUUGUUCAAAUAAUGGCCCUUGGGGUCAAAAUUGGCCCCGCCCCCUUGGGGGGUCAUGGGUUUUCUCUAUAUGUUUAUAGUGAAAACUUCAAAAAUCUUCUCCUCUUAACUUACUUGGACUAGAGCUUAGAUAUUUGGCAUGAUUCAUCGUCUAGUGGACCUCUACAAAGAUUGUUCAAAUUAUGGCCCUGGGGUCAAAAUUGGCCCCGCCCCUGGGUGGUCAUGGGUUUUCUCUAUAUGUUUAUAUUAAAAAAAAUCAAAAAUCUCCUCUGAACUUACGUUGCUUAGAGCUUAGAUAUUUGGCUUGAUUCAUCGUCUAGUGGACCUCUACAAAGAUUGUUCAAAUUAUGGCCUUGGGGUCAAAAUUGCCCCCGCCCCAGGGGGGCAUGGGUUUUCUCUAUAUGUUUGUAGUGAAAACUUCAAAAAUCUUUUCCUUUGAACUUACUUGGACUAGAGCUUAGAUAUUUGGCAUGAUUCAUCGUCUAGUGGACCUCUACAAAUAUUGUUCAAAUUAUGGCCUUGGGGUCAAAAUUGGCCCCGCCCCGGGGGUCAUGGGUAUACUUGAUAUGUUUAUAGUUAAAACUUCAAAAAUCAUCUCCGCUUAACUUUCUUGGACUAGAGCUUAGAUAUUUGGCAUGAUUCAUCGUCUAGUGGACCUCUACAAAGAUUGUUCAAAUCAUGGCCUUGGGGUCAAAAUUGGCCCCGCCCCGGGGGGUUAGGGUAUUCUCUAUAUGUUUAUAGUGAAAACUUCAAAAAUCUUCUCCUUUGAACUUACUUGGACUAGAGCUUAGAUAUUUGGCAUGAUUCAUCGUCAAGUGGACCUCUACAAAGAUUGUUUAAAUUAUGGCCUUGGGGUCAAAAUUGGCCCCGCCUCGGGGGGUCAUGGGUUUUCUCUAAAAAAACUUCAAAAAUCUUCUCCUCUGAACUUACUUGGCCUAGAGCUUAGGUAUUUGUCAUGAUUCAUCGUCUAGUGGACCUCUACAAAGUAUUUCAAAUUAUGGCCCUGGGGUCAAAAUUGGCCCCGCCCCGGGGGGUCAUGGGUAUGCUCUAUAUGUUUAUAGUUAAAACUUCAAAAAUCUUCUCCUCUGAACUUACUUGGACUAGAGCUUAGAUAUUUGGCAUGAUUCAUCGUCUAGUGGACCUCUACAAAGUUUGUUCAAAUAAUGGCCCUUGGGGUCAAAAUUGGCCCCGCCCCCUUGGGGGGUCAUGGGUUUUCUCUAUAUGUUUAUAGUGAAAACUUCAAAAAUCUUCUCCUCUUAACUUACUUGGACUAGAGCUUAGAUAUUUGGCAUGAUUCAUCGUCUAGUGGACCUCUACAAAGAUUGUUCAAAUUCUGGCCCUGGGGUCAAAAUUGGCCCCGCCCCUGGGUGGUCAUGGGUUUUCUCUAUAUGUUUAUAUUAAAAAAAAUCAAAAAUCUCCUCUGAACUUACGUUGCUUAGAGCUUAGAUAUUUGGCUUGAUUCAUCGUCUAGUGGACCUCUACAAAGAUUGUUCUAAUUAUGGCCUUGGGGUCAAAAUUGGCCCCGCCCCGGGGGGUUAGAGUAUUCUCUAUAUGUUUAUAGUUAAAACUUCAAAAAUCUUCUCCUCUGAACUUACUUGGACUAGAGCUUAGAUAUUUGGCAUGAUUCAUCGUCUAGUAGACCUCUACAAAGUUUGUUCAAAUAAUGGCCCUUGGGGUCAAAAUUGGCCCCGCCCCCUUGGGGGGUCAUGGGUUUUCUCUAUAUGUUUAUAGUGAAAACUUCAAAAAUCUUCUUCUCUGAACUUACGUGGCUUAGAGCUUAGAUAUUUGGCAUGAUUCAUCGUCUAGUGGACCUCUACAAAGAUUGUUCAAAUUAUGGCCCUGGGGUCAAAAUUGGCCCCGCCCCGGGGGGUCAUGGGUAUGCUCUAUAUGUUUAUAGUUAAAACUUCAAAAAUCUUCUCCUCUGAACUUACUUGGACUAGAGCUUAGAUAUUUGGCAUGAUUCAUCGUCUAGUGGACCUCUACAAAGAUUGUUCAAAUUAUGGCCUUGGGGUCAAAAUUGCCCCCGCCCCAGGGGGGCAUGGGUUUUCUCUAUAUGUUUGUAGUGAAAACUUCAAAAAUCUUUUCCUUUGAACUUACUUGGACUAGAGC